RNAcentral lists this unclassified non-coding RNA (1231 nucleotides) under Hevea brasiliensis (rubber tree). The record is from RNAcentral. Lineage: Eukaryota; Viridiplantae; Streptophyta; Magnoliopsida; Malpighiales; Euphorbiaceae.
GGAGAUUGACAUGAGAAGUUCUGAGGCACAGAUUGAUCUUGCUAGUGGAAGACUCUGGUCUCAGCUGCUGCGCUUCAAACAAGAGGGUUUCCUACUGGGCGCUGGUAGUCCUUCUGGUUCAGAUGUGCAUAUCUCCUCCAGUGGUAUUGUCCAAGGUCAUGCCUAUUCAAUAUUACAGGUACGAGAAGUUGAUGGUCACAAGCUUGUUCAGAUCCGGAAUCCAUGGGCCAAUGAAGUUGAAUGGAACGGCCCUUGGUCUGAUCCAUCACCUGAGUGGACCGACAGGAUGAAACACAAGCUUAAGCAUGUCCCACAGGCAAACGAUGGAAUUUUCUGGAUGUCUUGGCAAGAUUUCCAAAUACAUUUUAGGUCUAUAUAUGUUUGUCGUGUCUACCCACCAGAGAUGCGCUACUCUAUCCAUGGUCAGUGGAGAGGUUACAGUGCUGGAGGCUGCCAGGACUAUGACACAUGGCAUCAGAAUCCCCAAUAUCGUCUAAGAGCAAGUGGUCCUGAUGCUUCCUUACCCAUUCACGUUUUUAUCACCUUAACUCAGGGUGUGAGUUUCUCAAGGACAACAGCUGGUUUCAGGAAUUAUCAAUCAAGCCAUGAUUCAAUGAUGUUCUAUAUUGGGAUGAGGAUACUGAAAACUCGUGGUAGACGUGCUGCAUAUAACAUCUAUUUACAUGAAUCUGUUGGUGGGACAGACUAUGUCAAUUCUCGUGAAAUAUCAUGUGAGAUGGUCCUAGAUCCCGACCCAAAGGGUUACACAAUAGUGCCUACUACAAUACAUCCUGGUGAAGAGGCACCUUUUGUUCUCUCUGUUUUUACUAAAGCUUCGAUAAGUCUUGAAACUUUAUAAUUUUGCAUUGAUGGCCCAGUUUGGGUUUGAGCUCUUGAUCAUUACUUGUGGGUCCCAAGCAUCUCCCCAAAAAGAUUCUGUGUGGACUUCAUAUCUGUCUAAGAGCUGGUUGAGUGAUAAAGUUGCAGUUGAAAUGCUCGGUAUAGAAAGAGGAGAAAGGAUGUUCUGUCCUUUGCAAAUGAAUGAAGCAAGCUCUGCUUUGUUCUGGGGACCCAUGCUUGCUAAAUCUCAUUCAUGCAUGGUGGCUGGAAGUCUCUAAGCCAAUAGAAGGAAGAUGGAUGGUCCAUUGAUUCUAGUCUUCACGUGGUCUAGAAAGAGGGUUCUCGGGGAUUAGACACUGUACAUGAGUAGAUGUAAGAAGAUAGGAUUUAG